RNAcentral lists this ribosomal RNA (468 nucleotides) under uncultured bacterium. Its description in RNAcentral is "partial 16S ribosomal RNA". It matches the Rfam family "Bacterial small subunit ribosomal RNA", at positions 28 to 507 of the family's 1533-position model. The record is from RNAcentral.
GACGAACGCUGGCGGCGUGCUUAACACAUGCAAGUCGAACGGAAAGGCCCUGCUUUUGUGGGGUGCUCGAGUGGCGAACGGGUGAGUAACACGUGAGUAACCUGCCCUUGACUUUGGGAUAACUUCAGGAAACUGGUGCUAAUACCGGAUAGGAGCUCCUGCUGCAUGGUGGGGGUUGGAAAGUUUCGGCGGUUGGGGCUGGACUCGCGGCUUAUCAGCUUGUUGGUGGGGUAGUGGCUUACCAAGGCUUUGACGGGUAGCCGGCCUGAGAGGGUGACCGGCCACAUUGGGACUGAGAUACGGCCCAGACUCCUACGGGAGGCAGCAGUGGGGAAUAUGGCACAAUGGGCGGACGCCUGAUGCAGCAACGCCGCGUGCGGGAUGACGGCCUUCGGGUUGUAAACCGCUUUCGCCUGUGACGAAGCGUGAGUGACGGUAAUGGGUAAAGAAGCACCGGCUAACUACGUG